AGUGAACGCUGGCGGUAGGCCUAACACAUGCAAGUCGAACGGCAGCACAGUAAGAGCUUGCUCUUACGGGUGGCGAGUGGCGGACGGGUGAGGAAUACAUCGGAAUCUACUUUUUCGUGGGGGAUAACGUAGGGAAACUUACGCUAAUACCGCAUACGACCUACGGGUGAAAGCAGGGGAUCUUCGGACCUUGCGCGAUUGAAUGAGCCGAUGUCGGAUAGCUAGUUGGCGGGGUAAAGGCCCACCAAGGCGACGAUCCGUAGCUGGUCUGAGAGGAUGAUCAGCCACACUGGAACUGAGACACGGUCCAGACUCCUACGGGAGGCAGCAGUGGGGAAUAUCGGACAAUGGGCGCAAGCCUGAUCCAGCCAUACCGCGUGGGUGAAGAAGGCCUUCGGGUUGUAAAGCCCUUUUGUUGGGAAAGAAAAGCAGCAGGUUAAUACCCCGCUGUUCUGACGGUACCCAAAGAAUAAGCACCGGCUAACUUCGUG
This 491-nucleotide ribosomal RNA is filed under the name uncultured bacterium. Its description in RNAcentral is "partial 16S ribosomal RNA". It matches the Rfam family "Bacterial small subunit ribosomal RNA", at positions 29 to 507 of the family's 1533-position model. The record is from RNAcentral.